AUUGAACGCUGGCGGCAGGCCUAACACAUGCAAGUCGAACGAGUGGCGGACGGGUGAGUAAUGUCUUGGAAACUGCCCGAUGUAGGGGGAUAACUCCUGGAAACGGUAGCUAAUACCGCAUACCAUCGGAUGUUCCCCGAUGGGAUUAGCUUGUAGGGGGGGUAACGGCUCACCUAGGGGACGAUCCCUAGCUGGUAUGAGAGGAUGACCAGCCACAAUGGAACGGAGACACGGUCCAGACUCCUACGGGAGGCAGCAGUGGGGAAUAUUGCACAAUGGGCGCAAGCCUGAUGCAGCCAUGCCGCUUGUAUGAAGAAGGCCUUCGGGUUGUAAAGUACUUUCAGCGGGGAGGCGUUACCCGCAGAAGAAGCACCGGCUAACUCCGUGCCAGCAGCCGCGGUAAUAC
This 406-nucleotide ribosomal RNA is filed under the name uncultured bacterium. RNAcentral's name for it is "partial 16S ribosomal RNA". It matches the Rfam family "Bacterial small subunit ribosomal RNA", at positions 30 to 526 of the family's 1533-position model. The record is from RNAcentral.